ACAUGCAAGUCGAACGGGAAACCUUUUAUUGAAGCUUCGGCAGAUUUAGAUUGUUUCUAGUGGCGGACGGGUGAGUAACGCGUGGGUAACCUGCCUUAUACAGGGGGAUAACAGUCAGAAAUGACUGCUAAUACCGCAUAAGCGCACAGGACCGCAUGGUCCGGUGUGAAAAACUCCGGUGGUAUAAGAUGGACCCGCGUUGGAUUAGCUGGUUGGUGAGGUAACGGCCCACCAAGGCGACGAUCCAUAGCCGGCCUGAGAGGGUGAACGGCCACAUUGGGACUGAGACACGGCCCAGACUCCUACGGGAGGCAGCAGUGGGGAAUAUUGCACAAUGGGGGAAACCCUGAUGCAGCGACGCCGCGUGAAGGAAGAAGUAUCUCGGUAUGUAAACUUCUAUCAGCAGGGAAGAAAAUGACGGUACCUGACUAAGAAGCCCCGGCUAACUACGUGCCAGCAGCCGCGGUAAUACGUAGGGGGCAAGCGUUAUCCGGAUUUACUGGGUGUAAAGGGAGCGUAGACGGAUGGACAAGUCUGAUGUGAAAGGCUGGGGCUCAACCCCGGGACUGCAUUGGAAACUGCCCGUCUUGAGUGCCGGAGAGGUAAGCGGAAUUCCUAGUGUAGCGGUGAAAUGCGUAGAUAUUAGGAGGAACACCAGUGGCGAAGGC
RNAcentral lists this ribosomal RNA (668 nucleotides) under uncultured Lachnospiraceae bacterium. RNAcentral describes it as "bacterial SSU rRNA". It matches the Rfam family "Bacterial small subunit ribosomal RNA", at positions 53 to 722 of the family's 1533-position model. The record is from RNAcentral. Lineage: Bacteria; Bacillati; Bacillota; Clostridia; Lachnospirales; Lachnospiraceae.